AUAAAUAUAGUUUAUUAAAAAACAUUAUAUUUUCAUUAUAAAGAUAAUCUCCUUAUUUAUUUAUA
This 65-nucleotide transfer RNA is filed under the name Pheidole flavigaster. RNAcentral's name for it is "tRNA-Glu". Lineage: Eukaryota; Metazoa; Arthropoda; Insecta; Hymenoptera; Formicidae. The record is from RNAcentral.